GUAGGGGGCCAGCGUUGCUCGGAAUUACUGGGUGUAAAGGGUUCGUAGGCGGUGUGGCAAGUCGGGAGUGAAAUCUCUGAGCUUAACUCAGGGGCUGCUUCCGAAACUGCUGUGCUAGAGUGUGGGAGAGGCGCGUGGAAUUGCAGGUGUAGCGGCGAAAUGCGUAGAUAUCUGCAGGAACACCCGUGGCGAAAGCGGCGCGCUGGACCACUACUGACGCUGAGGAACGAAAGCUAGGGGAGCAAACAGGAUUAGAUACCCUGGUAGUCCUAGCCCUAAACGAUCAGGACUUGGGGUGCCACCCGUUCGGGUGUCGUCCCGGAGCUAACGCGUUAAGUCCUSCACCUGGGGAGUACGGUCGCAAGACUG
This 369-nucleotide ribosomal RNA is filed under the name uncultured bacterium. Its description in RNAcentral is "bacterial SSU rRNA". It matches the Rfam family "Bacterial small subunit ribosomal RNA", at positions 527 to 896 of the family's 1533-position model. The record is from RNAcentral.